This is a non-coding RNA of Drosophila suzukii, 1200 nucleotides long. The record is from RefSeq and is a predicted model, not a curated record. Lineage: Eukaryota; Metazoa; Arthropoda; Insecta; Diptera; Drosophilidae.
GUCGAUACUGUAUCCGCUAUUCAAUCAUCAGUUCUCUCACUUGGAUCAGCAGUGAACGUAAUGGAUGCAAUAAUAAUUUGGCACAUCCACCAUCUACCUUCCGAUAAGAGCUGAUAAUCUGAACAGCUGUGGCUAAUCAAAACACAAGCAACAAUUGUUAAAGUGGAUUUUGUCAGACCAAAAUUAACAAUCUACUAACUAUUUUGACUGUUGUGCAACAGAAAAAUCUGAAGUUGAAUCAACUUUUAUUGGCAGACAAUUCAGAGGAGUGGAAUGACGACGAAUUGGAUCUUUACGAAAGCAUUUUUUCUGCAAAAGAGCAAAUGACACGAAGUGUGUGGACUCUGGUACGUGCUCUUAAAAAUACUAUUCAAGAAUGCGAUUUGUAUGAAACAGAAGCGAUAAGGGACUAGGUGUUUUGCGGAAGAAACACACCAAAUGGUGAAAUGCCAUUCCUCUUGAAAAGGGGAUCGCUAUAGUCUUGUACACAUUGGGAUUAUCUGCGGAAUAUCGUUACAUCGGAAGGCUUUUUGGAGUUGCACAGAACACUGUGUGCAAAUUUUUCCACGAAUUUUGGCGGGCACUAAUUUUUGAGUGGACGAGUGUGUCAAAGAAUUCGAAGCAAUUGGAUUUCCCCAGUUACCAAUUGAAGGUUGUCACAUCGAAAUAAAACCGUCAGCAGCAGAAGCAGUCGAUCACCACAGCUACAACGGCUGGUACUCAACAGUACUAUUCGCUCUCGUGGAUUUCAGAUACAGUUUUACCUAUGUAAACAUAUGCUUUGCUGGGCGCUGCAACGACUCCACUAUAUUUCAAAAGUCCAGCCAGGCAAGGGAAGUGGUGUCUUCUCCGUUUCUUCUCGAAAAAACAAGGGAAGCUUGUGGCGUUUAAGUUCCGGUGCUGCUUAUUGGGGACUAUGGCUUUCGAUUUUCCCAAACGCUGAUAAAGCCGUACCCAUUUUCCACAACUGCGUCCGAAGAACAGCUAAAUUUUAACUACAAUCUGUCCAAAGCUAGGCGAUUAGUAGAAAAUGCAUUUGGCCAUUUAAAGGCAAGAUUUCGGUUUCUUGGGAAAGGUCUUCACAGCCACUACAAGAACAAUAAUGGAGUCAUUCUAGCCUGCUGCAUUUUGCACAACAUUUUGAAUGAGCACAACAGCGCUAUAAAUGAAACUUGACAACAGGCUGCAAGUGACCUACGC